UGAGUGUCGAGGCGGGCCGGCACGUUUACUUUGAACAAAUUAGAGUGCUUUAAGCAGGCCCUGUCCCGCCUGUAURUUGUGUGCAUGGAAUAAUGGAAUAGGACCUCGGUUCUAUUUUGUUGGUUUUCGGAAUCUGAGGUAAUGAUCAAUGGGGACAGGCGGGGGCAUUCGUAUUGCGACGUUAGAGGUGAAAUUCUUGGAUCGUCGCAAGACGGACCGAAGCGAAAGCAUUUGCCAAGUAUGUUCUCGUCGAUCAAGAACGAAAGUUAGAGGUUCGAAGGCGAUCAGAUACCGCCCUAGUUCUAACCAUAAACUAUGCCUGCCAGCGAUCCGCCGAAGUUCCUCCGAUGACUCGGCGGGCAGCUUCCGGGAAACCAGAGCUUUUGGGUUCCGGGGGAAGUAUGGUUGCAAAGCUGAAACUUAAAGGAAUUGACGGAAGGGCACCACCAGGAGUGGAGCCUGCGGCUUAAUUUGACUCAACACGGGRAACCUCACCAGGCCAGGACACUGGAAGGAUUGACAGACUGAGAGCUCUUUCUCGAUUCAGUGGGUGGUGGUGCAUGGCCGUUCUUAGUUGGUGGAGCGAUUUGUCUGGUUAAUUCCGAUAACGAACGAGACUCUAGCCUACUAACUAGGCGUCCCGGUAUUCAUAAUUUUGAACUACCGGCGAUUAUCAAUCUUCUUAGAGGGACAGGCGGCUUCUAGCCGCACGAGACUGAGCAAUAACAGGUCUGUGAUGCCCUUAGAUGUCCUGGGCCGCACGCGCGCUACACUGAAGGAAUCAACGUGUCCUCCCUGGCCGAAAGGUCCGGGUAACCCGCUGAACCUCCUUCGUGCUAGGGAUUGGGGCUUGCAAUUGUUCCCCAUGAACGAGGAAUUCCCAGUAAGAGCGAGUCAUAAGCUCGCUUUGAUUACGUCCCUGCCCUUUGUACACACCGCCCGUCGCUACUACCGAUUGAAUGAUUUAGUGAGGUCUUUGGACUGGUGCGCGGCAAUCAGCAAUGGUAGCCGAUGUUACUGGAAAGAU
Molecule: ribosomal RNA, 1027 nt
Filed under: Peloridora minuta
Lineage: Eukaryota; Metazoa; Arthropoda; Insecta; Hemiptera; Peloridiidae
Description: SSU rRNA
Rfam family: Eukaryotic small subunit ribosomal RNA
Source: RNAcentral